AUUGAACGCUGGCGGCAGGCCUAACACAUGCAAGUCGAACGGUAACAGGAAGAAGCUUGCUUCUUUGCUGACGAGUGGCGGACGGGUGAGUAACGCGUGGAUAACCUGCCUCAUACAGGGGGAUAACAGCUAGAAAUGGCUGCUAAUACCGCAUAAGCGCACAGUGCCGCAUGGCAGUGUGUGAAAAACUCCGGUGGUAUGAGAUGGAUCCGCGUCUGAUUAGCCAGUUGGCGGGGUAACGGCCCACCAAGACUACGAUGGAUAGGGGUUCUGAGAGGAAGGUCCCCCACAUUGGAACUGAGACACGGUCCAA
RNAcentral lists this ribosomal RNA (313 nucleotides) under uncultured bacterium. RNAcentral describes it as "bacterial SSU rRNA". It matches the Rfam family "Bacterial small subunit ribosomal RNA", at positions 30 to 334 of the family's 1533-position model. The record is from RNAcentral.